Molecule: long non-coding RNA, 396 nt
Organism: Prosopis cineraria
Lineage: Eukaryota; Viridiplantae; Streptophyta; Magnoliopsida; Fabales; Fabaceae
Exons: 3
Source: RefSeq, a predicted model, not a curated record
AUUGCAACUUUGGGCCCAAAGGUUUGAAUAAUUAAAUUCAAACCUAUAGUUUUUUUUUUAUAAUUUUGGGACUCACAAUCCCAUUUUUAUAUUAUUUUUCUCUCUUCCUCUCACGUUGCUCGGCGUUUUCUCGCAAGGGGGGAUUAUUUUCUUUUUUCUUCAGAUUAUAUUGACAAAGAUAGUGGUGAAAAAGGAGUUGUGAAGGGGAACUUGUUAUUCAAGACACAAGGAGCGAAUCCGGCCGAGAAAGCACCAGAGGUGUAAUUAUGGUGUAUGAGACACCAUCUUUUACGUUGCCUCUUAUUUUGAAUUAUACAAUGUAUCUUGUGCCAACUUAGGACAUAUCUUGUCUAUGGAGCAUGUAAACUCUAAUCCUUUUUAUUAAAUGCAUUUAUA